This 345-nucleotide long non-coding RNA is filed under the name Danio rerio (zebrafish). Its description in RNAcentral is "lncRNA (ENSDARG00000117381.1)". The record is from RNAcentral. Lineage: Eukaryota; Metazoa; Chordata; Actinopteri; Cypriniformes; Danionidae.
AUUAUUGCAGUGAAAAAAAAAAUGAUGCAUCAACACAUCAAAGCACUCUCUUGCUGACAUCAGGGCUUUCCUGUUGCAGUCGGGUGUGCACGUCUCCAACACCACUAUAAGACGACACUAUAGACGUCAAAGACCUGUAGGCCUUCCUAGAAAAACAACUGCAAGGAAAAUGAACAGUGCUGCACUUAAAACGAUUGACGAAAAACUUAACAAGGACAAUGAGCGAUCUGCUAAAAAGAUUCAGAGCGAGCUUCUGUUUAGAAUACAGUUAAAAGCAUCAGUCUGCACUAUUAGAAAACCAUUAAAACAACUCAGGUGGACCUAUGGAAAAGCCAGGAAUUAUGG